GAUGAACGCUGGCGGCGUGCCUAAUACAUGCAAGUCGAGCGAACGGACGAGAAGCUUGCUUCUCUGAUGUUAGCGGCGGACGGGUGAGUAACACGUGGAUAACCUACCUAUAAGACUGGGAUAACUUCGGGAAACCGUAGCUAAUACCGGAUAAUAUUUUGAACCGCAUGGUUCAAAAGUGAAAGACGGUCUUGCUGUCACUUAUAGAUGGAUCCGCGCUGCAUUAGCUAGUUGGUAAGGUAACGGCUUACCAAGGCAACGAUGCAUAGCCGACCUGAGAGGGUGAUCGGCCACACUGGAACUGAGACACGGUCCAGACUCCUACGGGAGGCAGCAGUAGGGAAUCUUCCGCAACGGGCGAAAGCCUGACGGAGCAACACCGCGUGAGUGAUGAAGGUCUUCGGAUCGUAAAACUCUGUUAUUAGGGAAGAACAUAUGUGUAAGUAACUGUGCACAUCUUGACGUUACCUAAUCAGAAAGCCACGGCUAACUACGUG
This 497-nucleotide ribosomal RNA is filed under the name uncultured bacterium. Its description in RNAcentral is "partial 16S ribosomal RNA". It matches the Rfam family "Bacterial small subunit ribosomal RNA", at positions 28 to 507 of the family's 1533-position model. The record is from RNAcentral.